AAUCUACCUUUUACAGAGGGAUAGCCCAGAGAAAUUUGGAUUAAUACCUCAUAGUAUUAUGAAAUGGCAUCAUUUUAUAAUUAAAGUCACAACGGUAAAAGAUGAGCAUGCGUCCCAUUAGCUAGUUGGUAAGGUAACGGCUUACCAAGGCUACGAUGGGUAGGGGUCCUGAGAGGGAGAUCCCCCACACUGGUACUGAGACACGGACCAGACUCCUACGGGAGGCAGCAGUGAGGAAUAUUGGACAAUGGGCGCAAGCCUGAUCCAGCCAUGCCGCGUGCAGGAUGACGGUCCUAUGGAUUGUAAACUGCUUUUGUACGGGAAGAAACACUGGUUCGUGAACCAGCUUGACGGUACUGUAAGAAUAAGGAUCGGCUAACUCCGUGCCAGCAGCCGCGGUAAUACGGAGGAUCCAAGCGUUAUCCGGAAUCAUUGGGUUUAAAGGGUCCG
Molecule: ribosomal RNA, 450 nt
Filed under: Flavobacterium johnsoniae
Lineage: Bacteria; Pseudomonadati; Bacteroidota; Flavobacteriia; Flavobacteriales; Flavobacteriaceae
Description: bacterial SSU rRNA
Rfam family: Bacterial small subunit ribosomal RNA
Source: RNAcentral